GAGAGUUAAAUAGUACGUGAAAUUGUUGAAAGGGAAACGAUUGAAGUCAGUCAUGUUAGUGAAAAAUCAGUUUGACGGGUUUUGAGUUCGGGAGUAGAGGCAGUGUCAAACCGUUUCUCUUUUGAACUUGGGAUUUGUUAGAUGUACUUUUUCUUUGGCAGGUCAGCGUCGAUUUCGGAGGUUGUAAAAUACUUGGGGAAAAGUAGCUCUGCUUCGGGAGAGUAUUAUAGACCCUGGGGGAUGCAGCCUGCGGGAUCGAGGAUUGCAGCAAAUGCCUUUGGCUUGUCGCCUGAUCUCUGGAUGUUACCUCGCUUGUGACAACAUUCUUGCCACCUGUGGGUACUAAUGCCCAUUAGGUUAGAGCGAUCAAAAAUUUUGCUAAGGAUGCUGACGUAAUGGCUUUAAACGA
This 409-nucleotide ribosomal RNA is filed under the name uncultured Diversispora. RNAcentral describes it as "partial 28S ribosomal RNA". The record is from RNAcentral. Lineage: Eukaryota; Fungi; Glomeromycota; Glomeromycetes; Diversisporales; Diversisporaceae.